RNAcentral lists this ribosomal RNA (474 nucleotides) under uncultured bacterium. Its description in RNAcentral is "bacterial SSU rRNA". It matches the Rfam family "Bacterial small subunit ribosomal RNA", at positions 252 to 718 of the family's 1533-position model. The record is from RNAcentral.
GUAGGGUAAUGGCCUACCAAGGCAACGAUGCAUAGCCGACCUGAGAGGGUGAUCGGCCACACUGGGACUGAGACACGGCCCAGACUCCUACGGGAGGCAGCAGUAGGGAAUCUUCCGCAAUGGACGAAAGUCUGACGGAGCAACGCCGCGUGUAUGAAGAAGGUUUUCGGAUCGUAAAGUACUGUUGUUAGAGAAGAACAAGGAUAAGAGUAACUGCUUGUCCCUUGACGGUAUCUAACCAGAAAGCCACGGCUAACUACGUGCCAGCAGCCGCGGUAAUACGUAGGUGGCAAGCGUUGUCCGGAUUUAUUGGGCGUAAAGCGCGCGCAGGCGGUCUUUUAAGUCUGAUGUGAAAGCCCCCGGCUUAACCGGGGAGGGUCAUUGGAAACUGGAAGACUGGAGUGCAGAAGAGGAGAGUGGAAUUCCACGUGUAGCGGUGAAAUGCGUAGAUAUGUGGAGGAACACCAGUGGCGA